Molecule: long non-coding RNA, 1087 nt
Filed under: Vitis vinifera (wine grape)
Lineage: Eukaryota; Viridiplantae; Streptophyta; Magnoliopsida; Vitales; Vitaceae
Description: long non-coding RNA (VVIN_LNC001686)
Source: RNAcentral
AACAUCAAAUAUUAUACCAAGCAACCAUAUUCAUAUAUCUCAUUAGAGUUUAAUGAUAUGAUAUUUUAAAAUAUACAUCAUAAUGAUAUUUACCUCUGAUAUUAUAUCAUAUCCUGUUAGAAAUGAAAUCAGAAUAUCCAAAUAGAAAUGAAAUAGGUUCGUUGAGGCAUCCAAUGGAAUCAGCAUUUAUGAUCCACUCAACGGUGCAGAUGAAAUCAAAACAUCCAAUUUCAAGAGGCACGGGUGUACUUAAUGGCAGCUCUGGUCGGCGAAAGCAGACCAACAUGAACCCACGUGGACAGCAAAUAUAUUCGGUGCCGUCCACCAACCAUGUUGGCACAAUCUCCACUCACCAUGCUCAUGGUUGAGCUGUUCCUUCCACGUGGCACAACCCCCAUUGGUUUCACCAAGCACCCAUGAACCCUUGCCCCCACAUAAAUAUCGACGCCCCACCCCCUCUCAAACCAUAAUAGAGCCAUUCACAUCAAUUUUACAUAACAUCUCACUCCCUACUAAUUUUCCCUUAAAAUGGCUCGUUUCACCUUCUCUAAUGCUCUGUUUUCCUUGGUUGUGAUUUCGGCAUUCGCUGUUCUAGCAUCAGGGCAAGGUGGUGAGAUGGCGCCGGCGCCAACUCCGACCAUGGACAAAGGAUCGGCAGUCAACUUCCCGGUGGCCGGAACACUCCUGGGGUGUUCUCUUGUCUUCUCCAUGCUUGGCCUGUUGAAGCGUUAGGGUGGUGGCUCCUGAGUGUGAGUGCUUUUGAGUGUUGCAGCGGUGGUGAUUUUAUGUUUCCGUGAUUCUUCCAUUGAUUGUAUUGUUAAGACCAAAUGCUCAAUAAAGUUCUUUCUUUUGUUUUCCUUUUUCUUUCUUUUUAGCCUUUGUUAUUAUAUUUUUCUUUAUUUUAUUGUAUAUAAAAAAAAAUGAUUACCUUUCUUUAAGAUGAAUACACUUGAUCAUCAUUAAUUCAAAAUUUCAUUAAAUAAUAUCUUAAAGGUAUUAAAGUCUAAUCUCAAUGGAGGUUGAUGAAAUUAACCCGAGGUAUGUAUGAAAAGAUUGAGGCAUACUUGAAAAAGGGAAGCAAAGCGUG